RNAcentral lists this ribosomal RNA (525 nucleotides) under uncultured bacterium. Its description in RNAcentral is "bacterial SSU rRNA". It matches the Rfam family "Bacterial small subunit ribosomal RNA", at positions 338 to 848 of the family's 1533-position model. The record is from RNAcentral.
CCUACGGGAGGCAGCAGUGGGGAAUUUUGGACAAUGGGCGCAAGCCUGAUCCAGCAAUGCCGCGUGCAGGAUGAAGGCCUUCGGGUUGUAAACUGCUUUUGUACGGAGCGAAACGGUCUGCCCUAAUACGGUGGGCUAAUGACGGUACCGUAAGAAUAAGCACCGGCUAACUACGUGCCAGCAGCCGCGGUAAUACGUAGGGUGCGAGCGUUAAUCGGAAUUACUGGGCGUAAAGCGUGCGCAGGCGGUGAUGUAAGACAGAUGUGAAAUCCCCGGGCUCAACCUGGGACCUGCAUUUGUGACUGCAUCGCUAGAGUACGGUAGAGGGGGAUGGAAUUCCGCGUGUAGCAGUGAAAUGCGUAGAUAUGCGGAGGAACACCGAUGGCGAAGGCAAUCCCCUGGACCUGUACUGACGCUCAUGCACGAAAGCGUGGGGAGCAAACAGGAUUAGAUACCCUGGUAGUCCCACGACCUAACCGACUAGUCACUAGGUUGGUUGGGUUCGUUCUACUGUACUCAGUAACG